UAGGGAAUCUUCGGCAAUGGGGGCAACCCUGACCGAGCAACGCCGCGUGAGUGAAGAAGGUUUUCGGAUCGUAAAGCUCUGUUGUAAGAGAAGAACGUGUGUGAGAGGGGAAAGUUCACACAGUGACGGUAACUUACCAGAAAGGGACGGCUAACUACGUGCCAGCAGCCGCGGUAAUACGUAGGUCCCGAGCGUUGUCCGGAUUUAUUGGGCGUAAAGCGAGCGCAGGCGGUUUAAUAAGUCUGAAGUUAAAGGCAGUGGCUUAACCAUUGUUCGCUUUGGAAACUGUUAAACUUGAGUGCAGAAGGGGAGAGUGGAAUUCCAUGUGGAGCGGUGAAAUGCGUAGAUAUACGGAGGAACACCGGUGGCGAAAGCGGCUCUCUGGUCUGUAACUGACGCUGAGGCUCGAAAGCGUGGGGAGCAAACAGG
RNAcentral lists this ribosomal RNA (429 nucleotides) under bacterium. RNAcentral's name for it is "partial 16S ribosomal RNA". It matches the Rfam family "Bacterial small subunit ribosomal RNA", at positions 355 to 776 of the family's 1533-position model. The record is from RNAcentral.